GAGUUUUGAUCCUGGCUCAGGAUGAACGCUAGCUACAGGCUUAACACAUGCAAGUCGAGGGGAAACGGACAUCGAAAGCUUGCUUUUGUAUGGGCGUCGACCGGCGCACGGGUGAGUAACGCGUAUCCAACCUGCCCACCACUUGGGGAGUAACCUUGCGAAAGUAAGACUAAUACCCAAUGACGUCUCUAGAAGACAUCUGAAGGAGAUUAAAAGAUUUUAUCGGUGAUGGAUGGGGGAUGCGUCUGAUUAGCUUGUUGGCGGGGUAACGGCCCACCAAGGCGACGAUCAGUAGGGGGUUCUGAGAGGAAGGUCCCCCACAUUGGAACUGAGACACGGUCCAAACUCCUACGGGGAGCA
This 360-nucleotide ribosomal RNA is filed under the name uncultured bacterium. Its description in RNAcentral is "bacterial SSU rRNA". It matches the Rfam family "Bacterial small subunit ribosomal RNA", at positions 9 to 350 of the family's 1533-position model. The record is from RNAcentral.